Cyprinus carpio (common carp) is the source of this 1024-nucleotide long non-coding RNA. The record is from Ensembl. NCBI's taxonomy places the organism in Eukaryota, Metazoa, Chordata, Actinopteri, Cypriniformes, Cyprinidae.
GAUUUCUUAUUUUUUUUGCAUGUUUGUCACACUUUAAUGUUUCAGAUCAUCAAACAAAUUUAAAUAUUAGUAAAAGAUAACAAAAGUGAACACAACAUGCAGCUUUUAAAUGAAGGUUUUUAUUAUUAAGGGAAAACAAAAUACAAAACUGCAUGGCCCUGUGUGGAAAAAGUGUUUGCCCCCAAACCUAAUUGCACCCCACCCUUAGCAGCAACUACUACAAUCAAACGUUUGGGAUAACUUGCAAUGAGUUUGUUACAGCACUGUGAGGGAAUUUUGGUCCACUCAUCUAUGCAGAAUUGUUGGGCGCUCCUUAGGGGAGAGGCACUGUCAUGGUUUCGGUUUCCCUUCUCCUUUUUUUCCCUUCUGCUGGUCAUCUCAUUACACUCACACACCUCUUCAGCUGUUCUCAUUAUCUCUCCUCUACCGCGCUAAUUGAUUCACACCUGUUCUCUCUUUCCUCUAAUCACCUUUGCUAUUUCUAGUUCCCCUUUUUCCCUCGCUCCUUGCCAGAUUAUUUUGUUUGCUAUUGAUGCAUGAAGCUGCACUAACCCUUUAUUGCUGUUGUGUCGUGUCCUGUCCUGUCCUGCAUAUUGAACUGUCAGUCUCAGGUCGGAUCUAACUGUGCUCUGUACUUACCUGUCGCUCUGUCCAGUCCGGCCGAUGCCGACGAGUCCCCUGCACAGUCUCCUCUCCAGCCAUCUGACCUUGUUUCUUACGAGAGAAAGGAGGACAGCGAACGCCUUUCCCUGUGCGCUGACCCGUUUUACGAAGAAGGACUUUCUGUUAUGGAUUUACAUCGAAAAGAGACUUUCUGUUCACCGUUUGUGUGCCUGCUCCUCGGCUGCCUUUUGUUAUUUAUCUGAAGACUUGUUUUUCUGUUACACUGCUAUUCCCUAUUAAAAGUCUUCAUUUGCAUUUCACUUUUGGGUCUUACCUCUCCUCACUACAAUGCCACAUUGUUUUAAUUGUAUGCGGCAAUACUGCAGUCAUUUUGGCAAUAAAAAUGUAAAAAUAUAUUGCA